This 1488-nucleotide long non-coding RNA is filed under the name Olea europaea subsp. europaea. Lineage: Eukaryota; Viridiplantae; Streptophyta; Magnoliopsida; Lamiales; Oleaceae. The record is from RNAcentral.
UUUCGAAAUUGUGAUUUUUUAAGAAUAUGUGGUUGAAAAAUAAGAAAAAGUUUUAGAUUUGCAUAGAAUAUUAUUUUAUUAAAAAAUGUGAGAUUAAAAAGGAAUUUUGAAAAAAAUACAUAUUUGAAAAAAAAAAAAAAGGGAAAAAUGGAGCCCAAACAAGACUUUGCAUCACAUCAUCCCUGAGGUAUUUUGGAUUUAAUUCUAUGACGUUGCUACAUGUACACCCCUCUUUACACUUUGGCUUACCAAAUUUACACUUAACACAAUUUCACACCACUUUUCACGUCUCACACUAUUAAUCCGACCAUUGUAAAACUGUAACAUCAACCAUCUGUCAACCAAGUGGUUGAAGAGAGAUGUGCAAAUAGCUUUAUCCUUAAUUCUAUUACUAACGUCAUGUGACCAUUUAUUUUACUAUUUCUUCCUUGUAAAAGAACAAUAAAAACUGUCUAAGAUAUUGAAUGAAUAAACUUACUUCUACAAUUUAUACUCUUGAAUAGUUAAACGAUCAGUUUAGUAUUUUGGCAUCACUAAUUUAAAACGUAAAAAUUGUGAAAAGAUGAUUGUUGUAGCUUAAUUUGUUUUCGAAGUUCAUGUUAUAAUUUAUGAUGUUAGGAACGUUAGAAGAUGGUUCAUGUAUUUUUUUCAAAGUUGAUUUUAUCUCGUGUUUUUUCCCCUCAAUCGGUUGUUGGUUUUGUUGCCAAAUUUCUUUGAAAAUAGUGUUAUUAUAAAUCAGACUAUGAAAGGAAAAUUACGCAAAUUCUUUUAUAUCUUUAGUCUUCUUGGCUUGGUUAUUUUUACUUCAACUGAUGAAAUUUCCUUGGUUUAGGCUACUUGCACUUGAAUGCAUGUAUAUUUCUGAAUAAAAUUUGAGCUUAUAGAUCAGAAAAGGAGAAUCUUGUGGCCACAACCAACUAAAGAUCAUUGCCAUUCUCACGAAUUAUUGGAUUCGUGUCUUUGUACCCCUAUCUCCUUUAUGACUAAACGAUUAUUUGAGGGUCUCAGCUAGUGAUAUGGUUGUUUUCAUGUCGAUGAUCCCUAUCAUGUCACUGGCCAACCUUGAUCUUGAUAUUUUGAGGUCAUAUCUAAGAUUCUGAAUUUGGAUAGACACAAUAUAACACAAAGUCAAUGUAAUUAUAACCGCCUACUAGAAGUUUUUGAGAACACUUUUAUUUUUUAUUUUUUGAACAAUUCCCCUUGGAUAGGGGAAUGGUUCGCAGAAGUUUUACAGGUACUCCGUGUUUGGUCCUUUUUUUUUUUUAUAUGUACAAUCAUGAAUGACAAUCUUUGUUGGCAUCAUUACAUGUAUCCAUUUUUUGAAUUGUCAAAAACUGUUUUUUAAAUUAUUGAUCAGGAUUUCGCCACCUCAGACAUUGUCAACAAUGUUUGUCCAUUGUACAAAUAGUUUAAUUCUUCAAUAAAACACUGUCAACUACCAAGCCUAUAAAAGACCUGUGAAAUUCCCCCGGCAUUAACUCGAACAAG